CCUACGGGAGGCAGCAGUGAGGAAUAUUGGUCAAUGGACGAAGGCCUGAACCAGCCAAGUCGCGUGAAGGAUGACUGCCCUAUGGGUUGUAAACUUCUUUUAUAUGGGAAUAAUAAUUACUACGUGUAGUCUGUUGUACGUACCUUAUGAAUAAGCAUCGGCUAACUCCGUGCCAGCAGCCGCGGUAAUACGGAGGAUCCGAGCGUUAUCCGGAUUUAUUGGGUUUAAAGGGUGCGUAGGCGGUAUUUUAAGUUAGUGGUAAAAUGUCGGGGCUUCACCUAGAAUUGCAAUUGAAAAUGGCGUACUUGAGUACAGAAGAGGUAGGCGGAAUACGUGGUGUAGCGGUGAAAUGCUUAGAUAUAACGUAGAACCCCGAUAGCGAAGGCAGUUCACCAGACUGUAACUGACGCUGAAGCUCGAGAGUGUGGGUAUCGAACAGGAUUAGAUACCCGUGUAGUC
RNAcentral lists this ribosomal RNA (459 nucleotides) under uncultured bacterium. Its description in RNAcentral is "partial 16S ribosomal RNA". It matches the Rfam family "Bacterial small subunit ribosomal RNA", at positions 338 to 795 of the family's 1533-position model. The record is from RNAcentral.